RNAcentral lists this ribosomal RNA (857 nucleotides) under uncultured bacterium. RNAcentral describes it as "SSU rRNA". It matches the Rfam family "Bacterial small subunit ribosomal RNA", at positions 524 to 1381 of the family's 1533-position model. The record is from RNAcentral.
UACGGAAGUGGCAAGCGUUAUCCGGAAUUAUUGGGCGUAAAGCGUCCGCAGGCGGUCUUGUAAGUCUGUUGUUAAAGCGUGGAGCUUAACUCCAUUUCAGCAAUGGAAACUGUAAGACUAGAGUGUGGUAGGGGCAGAGGGAAUUCCCGGUGUAGCGGUGAAAUGCGUAGAUAUCGGGAAGAACACCAGUGGCGAAGGCGCUCUGCUGGGCCAUAACUGACGCUCAUGGACGAAAGCCAGGGGAGCGAAAGGGAUUAGAUACCCCUGUAGUCCUGGCCGUAAACGAUGAACACUAGGUGUCGGGGGAAUCGACCCCCUCGGUGUCGUAGCCAACGCGUUAAGUGUUCCGCCUGGGGAGUACGCACGCAAGUGUGAAACUCAAAGGAAUUGACGGGGGCCCGCACAAGCGGUGGAGUAUGUGGUUUAAUUCGAUGCAACGCGAAGAACCUUACCAGGGUUUGACAUCCUGCGAAUCUCUUGGAAACGAGAGAGUGCCUUCGGGAACGCAGUGACAGGUGGUGCAUGGCUGUCGUCAGCUCGUGUCGUGAGAUGUUGGGUUAAGUCCCGCAACGAGCGCAACCCACGUCGUUAGUUGCCAGCAUUCAGUUGGGCACUCUAGCGAGACCGCCGGUGAUAAACCGGAGGAAGGUGUGGAUGACGUCAAGUCAUCAUGCCCCUUACAUCCUGGGCUACACGCGUACUACAAUGCUACGGACAAAGGGCAGCAAACUCGCGAGAGCUAGCAAAUCCCAUAAACCGUGGCUCAGUUCAGAUCGUAGGCUGCAACUCGCCUACGUGAAGGAGGAAUCGCUAGUAAUCGCAGGUCAGCAUACUGCGGUGAAUACGUUCCCGGGCCU